Molecule: ribosomal RNA, 435 nt
Filed under: uncultured bacterium
Lineage: Bacteria
Description: bacterial SSU rRNA
Rfam family: Bacterial small subunit ribosomal RNA
Source: RNAcentral
AUGGGCGCAAGCCUGAUCCAGCCAUGCCGCGUGAGUGAUGAAGGCCUUCGGGUUGUAAACCUCUUUUACCAGGGACGAAAAUGACGGGACCUGGAGAAUAAGCUCCGGCCAACUUCGUGCCAGCAGCCGCGGUAAUACGAAGGGGGCUAGCGUUGUUCUGAAUUACUGGGCGUAAAGUGCACGUAGGCGGUUUGUUAAGUCAGAUGUGAAAUCCCAGGGCUCAACUUCAGAACUGCCUUUCAUACUGGACAGCUAGACUCCAGUAGAGGUUAGUAGAAUUCCCUGUGUAGAGGUGAAAUUCAUAGAUAUUGGGAAGAACACCAGUGGCGAAGGCGGCUCACUGGUCCGGUACUGACGCUAAGGUGCGAAACCGUGGGGAGCAAACAGGAUUAGAUACCCUGGUAGUCCACUCCAUAAACUAUGGGGGCUAGCCGU